This 254-nucleotide ribosomal RNA is filed under the name uncultured bacterium. Its description in RNAcentral is "partial 16S ribosomal RNA". It matches the Rfam family "Bacterial small subunit ribosomal RNA", at positions 79 to 334 of the family's 1533-position model. The record is from RNAcentral.
CUUUCUUUGCUGGCGACCGGCGCACGGGUGAGUAACACGUAUCCGACCUGCCCUUUACUCGGGGAUAGCCUUUCGAAAGAAAGAUUAAUACCCGAUAGCAUAAUGAUUCCGCAUGGUUUCAUUAUUAAAGGAUUCCGGUAAAGGAUGGGGAUGCGUUCCAUUAGGUUGUUGGUGAGGUAACGGCUCACCAAGCCUUCGAUGGAUAGGGGUUCUGAGAGGAAGGUCCCCCACAUUGGAACUGAGACACGGUCCAA